AAUGCAUAUUGCGCUCUUUGGUAUUCCGAAGAGCAUGCUUGUUUGAGUAUCAGUAAACACCUCAACCUCUCUUUUUUAAUAAAAAAAAGGGAGGGUGGACUUGAGCUAUCCCAACGACCUUCACCAGUAGGCGGGCGGCUUGAAAUGCAGGUGCAGCUGGACUUUUAUCUGAGCUAAAAGCAUAUCUAUUUAGUCCUCAUCAAACAGGAUUAUUACUUUUGCUGCAGCUAACAUAAAGGAUAAUUGUCCUCUUUGCUGACUGAUGCAGGAUUUUACAACACUUUAUGUGUUGUUCAACUCGAUCUCAAAUCAAGUAAGACUACCCACUGAACUUAA
RNAcentral lists this unclassified non-coding RNA (336 nucleotides) under uncultured Mortierellaceae. Its description in RNAcentral is "sequence contains ITS2". The record is from RNAcentral. Lineage: Eukaryota; Fungi; Mortierellomycota; Mortierellomycetes; Mortierellales; Mortierellaceae.